AAAAAAAAAACCUUAAAUGCCCAUCGCUAAGUGAAAGAAGCCGAUCUGAAAAGACUACAUACUGUUAUCAGCCUUUUGCCAAGCUGAACACAAGGGGAUGAAAAGAAAAUCUGGGCUCGAAUGUGCAAUUUCAUAUUUUCUGUUAAGGCAAUUUACAACAUAUCAUAAAGCUGCAUUAAUAAACAGAUGUUCCACAGUCUGCAGAAUAUAAAAUAAAUGUCUUGAAUAAGCUACGAAGACCAAGGCACUUUUCGGAGCAGAUUUUUUUGUCUUAAAGUUUUAUCUCAUGCAAACACUGCGUAUAACACAAACUUAUAUAAUCAAUGCUUUUAGCAAAAUGUCAUAGUAGAACCAAGGCCCAGUUGUUAGCUGAAAUCUAUAUAAAUAUAGGCAGGAGUAGGGCUGAUUGGAGCCAUUGUACAGUGUCGGGAACAUACCAGGACACUGAGAAUAGUGUCAUGUCAUAAGGACCCAGAGCAGAUGGACCCUGCUGUGAUGCACAAAGAGGACCACGCAAGAUAUGAUAAAGAUCUACAUCACUGAAUUUUGGUUCCAUUUUUGUAUCUCAGCUUCCAGGAAAUAAAAAAGAAUUCUAACAUUCAUACUUUCAGUAUUUUAUGUGAGAGGUUUUGUUGUCAAAAUCAAGUCUGAGAGCAAUGUUUGUUGGGGCCUUUAAUUGGAGUCACCAAGCGAUAAAGGGGACAUUGUCCUCAACAAUAACCCUAUAAUAAACACGUUUUGGACAAUAAAUAUAUGACAAUUUCUUAAAAGCAAUUUCUUGGGCAAUCAAGACAGUAUGGCUUGAGUAUGGAGUUAUACGAUGGUUUGGAUUAAUCCAGUAUUAAAUCUUUGGUUAUUACAGAAAUCAAUGGAGCCUAUUCUUCCAAAUAAUCCUUAAAUAUUACUUAUCUCAACUGAGAUUUUGGUGAAAAUUUAGCUUUAGAGCUUUUAUUGACCUGCCAAUGACCUGAAGUUAAGAUUAUUCUUUUCUACUGAAUGAAGACAAACUACCUUAUAAAAAUUAACCCAGA
This 1031-nucleotide long non-coding RNA is filed under the name Homo sapiens (human). Its description in RNAcentral is "lncRNA negative regulator of fibroblast-like synoviocyte migration, SYNCRIP interacting". The record is from RNAcentral. Lineage: Eukaryota; Metazoa; Chordata; Mammalia; Primates; Hominidae.